Molecule: transfer RNA, 83 nt
Filed under: Candidatus Kentrum sp. FW
Lineage: Bacteria; Pseudomonadati; Pseudomonadota; Gammaproteobacteria
Description: Candidatus Kentron sp. FW tRNA_Leu_TAA
Rfam family: tRNA
About the family: Transfer RNA (tRNA) molecules are approximately 80 nucleotides in length.
Source: RNAcentral
GCCGGGAUGGUGGAAUUGGUAGACACAAGGGACUUAAAAUCCCUCGCCUUUGAGGUGUGCGGGUUCGACUCCCGCUCCCGGCA